CCCUUGACUUUGGGAUAACUUCAGGAAACUGGGGCUAAUACCGGAUAGGAGCUCCUGCUGCAUGGUGGGGGUUGGAAAGUUUCGGCGGUUGGGGAUGGACUCGCGGCUUAUCAGCUUGUUGGUGGGGUAGUGGCUUACCAAGGCUUUGACGGGUAGCCGGCCUGAGAGGGUGACCGGCCACAUUGGGACUGAGAUACGGCCCAG
RNAcentral lists this ribosomal RNA (204 nucleotides) under uncultured Actinomycetales bacterium. Its description in RNAcentral is "partial 16S ribosomal RNA". It matches the Rfam family "Bacterial small subunit ribosomal RNA", at positions 129 to 334 of the family's 1533-position model. The record is from RNAcentral. Lineage: Bacteria; Bacillati; Actinomycetota; Actinomycetes; Actinomycetales.